GCUUUUAAAAUAAAACAUGUCAACAUGUGUAUGUUUAACAAAUGCAAGGGAUAGAAAGAAAUGAAUGAAUUGUUGCCACACAACUAAGAUGGCGAAACCCUGCUAAGGAGCCAGACGAGUUAAAGUUCAGGUUUUGGUUUAGUUUUGUAAAUGUGAUGAUUCAUGAGGAGUUAUGCUAGAGCAGAAACACUGGUGCCAAGGCUUUCCUUAGAAAAAGUACAUGGUGUCAUCAGCUGUUUGAGGCAACAUAGCGUUGCAUGAAGGGUGCUUUUAUAAAGGAGGUGAUUAGGAACAGCCGGCUCCUACCGGCUAACAAGGAACUGGUCCUGUUAUCUGGUAAAGAGAAUACCAGGAUCAUUCAGAUCUGAUCCCUCAAGCUGCUUUCAGAGGUUGUUCAAAGUCUGUUCAUCCAUUUUUGUUUAGCAGUCAACACAUGAACGUGUCUGAGCCACCACUGACCUGAUGUGACUCUUAAGUGGGGUUACAACUUUUAUCUAUCUCCCAGCUAUAGAAAAAUGGGAGAACAUGUUAACAUAGCAGCUAUGUGCUAACUUCAUGCAAUACCUGUCACGGUCCGUGGUGAGCCUCCUGCAUGUAACCUGUUUUCUCUGAGCAUUGUUUCAGGUGGGCGUGUCUGAGAGCCACCAGCUGCAGCCAAUCCUGUCAUCACGGUCUUCACUUCGCCGGAUGAUUGCUCAGUUUUGGGUAGCUCUAGCCUCUGACCCGUAUUGAUCUUGUGUUUUUCUAGUUCCAGUCUGUGUACCAGAUCUUGUAAAUUAUUUGCUGGAUUUCCUGUCGACCAGAAAAGACCCUGACUACUCUUCCCUGCUCUGCUCCAGGUUUCACUCCACACUCCACUAUCUCCAUACCAGCUCGGAUUCCUGCACUUCAGAUCACGCUGUCUCCUCCCCUGGCCGCCCGCUCUCAGCCGCUCACCUGCCCUCAUCAAGCCUCUGCUCCUACCUCCUCUCUGGUUCAACAGUUCCUUCACCUUCUGGAGCCUUCCUGCUCACCUGGACCUGACCUAGCCCUUCCUGAGGCUCUCACCACUAUCUGCUAUCAGUGGGUCAGCAGGAGUCUCUCCCGGACCUGCAAGCUGGAGCAACAGGUCUACCCUCGUUGAUGACUGACGAGUGACGUUUUCACAAGAACAGGGCAGGAAAGAGCUUUUAACCUAAGAUCUUAGUCAUUCAUGACCACACAUCUCUGAAACUGUUCUGUAGUUUCCUCUCCAACUUAUUCCUGUACAGUAUCUAGCAGUGGCGGACUGGUGAUCGGGAGUAACGGGAGAAUUCCCGGUGGCCUGGCAGUUAAUCUGGCCUGCCCAGUGAUUACAAAUGGCUAAAUGAACAGUUCGUCGUGCAGCUCAUCAGGGCAUCUGCUGUCCUGACGCUCACAUAUUCAAACGGACCUAACUGGGCACAAAGAUACCCCCCAGAACUGAGCUGAUGAAGAAUUAAAUGUUUCAAAAUGUGUUUUUUUUAUCAACAGAAUUAUGCGGAACCUGAACUGAAUUGUCCUAGCCAUAACUGAAAUUUUUUUUGAAAUUCAACUUUGAUGCUGGUUUAUUUACAAAAAUGAACAAAAUUCUGAUGGUAGGAACAUCUUUCCAAACUAACAGCUACCAGGUUUUGCAUAAUUCCAGCUUCUCGGUGGUGAAAAGAAGAAGAAAAACCAUAAGAAGAGAAAUUCUCAUCUGUUCACACCACCAGUUCUGCCCCACCAGCAAGUAACAUCAUUCCUUCGAAGCCAGAGGGGAGCCGUACAAAGAAAGAUUAAUGGCUUAACCAGCUGAGCUGAGCUGGAAUAGAGAGGUCUUCAUGUGAGCUGGAGUCAUAACCUUCUCACGAGCUGUUUACGUUCAGGGUUAAGCUUUAAAUUGUCUGGCACUGACUUUCUCUCCUAAGUACCCCGACAGAAAAAUAAGAUGGAAAGUGUUUAUACUGCAGGCACAUUGGACACUGAUGCCUGAGUUUUAUAACCAACUUAAAAGUUUUAGAUUUAUAUUUAAUAAAUGUUGGAUUACAAGAAAAAUAAAAAACAAAACCAAAAAGA
This is a non-coding RNA of Nothobranchius furzeri (turquoise killifish), 2055 nucleotides long. NCBI's taxonomy places the organism in Eukaryota, Metazoa, Chordata, Actinopteri, Cyprinodontiformes, Nothobranchiidae. The record is from RefSeq and is a predicted model, not a curated record.